GAUGAACGCUGGCGGCGUGCCUAAUACAUGCAAGUCGAGCGAACGGACGAGAAGCUUGCUUCUCUGAUGUUAGCGGCGGACGGGUGGGUAACACGUGGAUAACCUACCUAUAAGACUGGGAUAACUUCGGGAAACCGGAGCUAAUACCGGAUAAUAUUUUGAACCGCAUGGUUCAAAAGUGAAAGACGGUCUUGCUGUCACUUAUAGAUGGAUCCGCGCUGCAUUAGCUAGUUGGUAAGGUAACGGCUUACCAAGGCAACGAUGCAUAGCCGACCUGAGAGGGUGAUCGGCCACACUGGAACUGAGACACGGUCCAGACUCCUACGGGAGGCAGCAGUAGGGAAUCUUCCGCAAUGGGCGAAAGCCUGACGGAGCAACGCCGCGUGAGUGAUGAAGGUCUUCGGAUCGUAAAACUCUGUUAUUAGGGAAGAACAUAUGUGUAAGUAACUGUGCACAUCUUGACGGUACCUAAUCAGAAAGCCACGGCUAACUACGUGCCAGCAGCCGCGGUAAUACGUAGGUGGCAAGCGUUAUCCGGAAUUAUGGGGCGUAAAGCGCGCGUAGGCGGUUUUUUAGUCUGAUGUGAAAGCCCACGGCUCAACCGUGGAGGGUCAUUGGAAACUGGAAAACUUGAGUGCAGAAGAGGAAAGUGGAAUUCCAUGUGUAGCGGUGAAAUGCGCAGAGAUAUGGAGGGACACCAGUGGCGAAGGCGACUUUCUGGUCUGUAACUGACGCUGAUGUGCGAAAGCGUGGGGAUCAAACUGGAUUAGAUACCCUGGUAGUCCACGCCGUAAACGAUGAGUGCUAAGUGUUAGGGGGUUUCCGCCCCUUAGUGCUGCAGCUAACGCAUUAAGCACUCCGCCUGGGGAGUACGACCGCAAGGUUGAAACUCAAAGGAAUUGACGGGGACCCGCACAAGCGGUGGAGCAUGUGGUUUAAUUCGAAGCAACGCGAAGAACCUUACCAAAUCUUGACAUCCUUUGACAACUCUAGAGAUAGAGCCUUCCCCUUCGGGGGACAAAGUGACAGGUGGUGCAUGGUUGUCGUCAGCUCGUGUCGUGAGAUGUUGGGUUAAGUCCCGCAACGAGCGCAACCCUUAAGCUUAGUUGCCAUCAUUAAGUUGGGCACUCUAAGUUGACUGCCGGUGACAAACCGGAGGAAGGUGGGGAUGACGUCAAAUCAUCAUGCCCCUUAUGAUUUGGGCUACACACGUGCUACAAUGGACAAUACAAAGGGCAGCGAAACCGCGAGGUCAAGCAAAUCCCAUAAAGUUGUUCUCAGUUCGGAUUGUAGUCUGCAACUCGACUACAUGAAGCUGGAAUCGCUAGUAAUCGUAGAUCAGCAUGCUACGGUGAAUACGUUCCCGGGUCU
RNAcentral lists this ribosomal RNA (1371 nucleotides) under uncultured bacterium. RNAcentral's name for it is "bacterial SSU rRNA". It matches the Rfam family "Bacterial small subunit ribosomal RNA", at positions 28 to 1381 of the family's 1533-position model. The record is from RNAcentral.